RNAcentral lists this long non-coding RNA (6399 nucleotides) under Homo sapiens (human). Its description in RNAcentral is "non-protein coding CCDC183-AS1:11". Lineage: Eukaryota; Metazoa; Chordata; Mammalia; Primates; Hominidae. The record is from RNAcentral.
AGAACCUCCCCCGAUCCUGCGUGUCCCGUGCUCCUCUCCGAGACCCCGGUCGCCCCAGCGUCCGCAGCAGUCCUGGAAAAAUGUUUAUUUGUGUAGCAAAGCAGGGAGCGGGGCGGCGGGGCUACUUCUUCUUUUUCUUGGCCGCCUUGAGCUUCCCCUCGAUUAGCCGCUGCGCCUGCCUCUUGAUCUCGGCGCGCGAAGGGACGUAGCUGUGGUCCAUGUCGGGGAACUGGAAGGUGUCUGCGGGCGGAGGCGGCGGCUCGCACACGGGGCUAGCCCAGCUAGGCGCAGCCGCCCGACCCGCCUCUCGCCCCCGCCCUCCACCGACCCGGGCCAGCCUUUCCCGCAGAACCCCCAGUGGAAGCUCCGGCCCAGGCCUUCACCGCGCUCCUCCCUGCUCCAGCCCUGGUGCCUCUCCUCCGGGCCCGUCUGGCAUGGCAUGCCUCCUCCUUUCGGAGAAAUUAACAAGAGUCGAGGACUCCAGGGUGUCCCUCACCUUUGUGUCGCCCUGCAGGGCAAAGCCCCCUUCAGCCGUGCAGACACUCUGAACGGGAGCCUGUCAGCUUUGAGGGGACGUGGGCUGUGCAGGUUCCUCCCAGCCCGGGGCUACCUCCUCGGUCCUGGACACCAUCUGCACUCUGUCAGCCAGCAUGUCUGUCAUUUUCUUCUCAACGGACUUGAAGCUGCAGAAGGCAAUAGGGACACAGCAGUGAGGGGCACAGGCCCGAGAGCCAUGGUGGGCCACCCAGGAGCCCAGUCCUGAGUUGGGUGCUGUGCCAGAAUCAGGGACUCAGAAGCUCAGAGUGCCUCAGACCCCAGCCCAGCUCAGCCACCCUCCUGCCAUGCUCCGGGAGUGCCAGGGAGCAUUACCCAGACGUGAGAGGCUCAGCCACCCUCCUGCCAUUCUCUGGGAGCGCCAGGGGCAUUACCCAGACGUGAGAGCACCGUACAGCACUCUUGACCUUCUCCACCACAGCAGUCACGCCCGACUGGUAUUCCAUUUCUGCUGUGGAGGUCUCUUUUCUCCUCACUGGCAGAGCAGAGGGGAGGGGCAGUCAGCAUGCAGGGAUGGCUCAGGGGCUCUGUGUAAGGCUGUCAGACACCUCUGUACCUGCCCAGCUGCUGGGGCGGCCACCCAAGACACAGGCAUCCUUCAGAGAUGCCUGCCCCCGCCCCAACCUGCUCCCUCCUCAGCCCAGCCCUGCAGGGACGCCCCAGGCAGCCCCAGAGCAGAGGUGGACCCGGAGUGAGUGGCGCAGCACUGUGAGCACUGUGGGCCCGGUGGUGCUUCUCAGAGGCAGCUUAGGGGUCAGGAUGCUCAUCCUCUGCAGAGUCACUGGGGACUGGGCCCUUGGUGCAGGGCCCUUGGGUGCUGGGGCCAGCAUCUCUGAGGCCACAUUUGGCUACAGGCUCUCAGCCUCUGGAGGGAGAGGCAGGGACCUGUCCUUCCCUUCACCCUGGCGACCACAUGUCACACCUGGCCUCAGGGUGACUUGAUCCGUUGGCCUGAAUCAGUGCCAGCCUCUCCUUGGGACCCUGGCUGGGGGCAGGUGGGGAGCUGAGCGCUUACAUUUCAGGGUCUCCGUGCUCAUCAGGUUCGAGGGGAAGUCCAAGUCCAUCUGGCCCUGAUGGGAGGUGGGGGCGGGGAAGGGAUGAGACAUCCUUGGCAGGGAGUGGGCCCUGAGUGGUGGCCCUGAGCCUGUGUCCACCCAGCUGUCAUGGGGAUGGGCAGCCAGCCAGGCCCUGGCCUGGGGCUUACCCGGCGGUACUUCUCGCUGGUCUCCUUCGUGUGGAUCUUGUCGAUCAGCUUCUUCUGCUGGUUGAGCCGGUUCUCCCUUGCCCGGCGCUCCUCGAUGAAGGACGCCUCCCUUUGCCUCAUGUUCCUCUGGGGACAUGCGGGUGGGCACAGGGUUGGGGAGCUGUCUCAACAAGGCCCCUAAUGGCAGUAAAGCCAGCGGGCGGUUGGCCAUGCUCACCUUACUAGACUUUGGAACUGCAUCCCCGGCCAAUGGCCACACCCUUUUCCUAAACCACUUGUGCCCGUGGCCCCUCAGCUCACGGCCCUCCUUGCCCAUGCCUCAGAGCAUGUGCCAGCCCAGACGCUCUGCUGCCCUCCAGCCGCUGGCCCCCAGCUGCCUCCUGGCCAGGUCCACCUAGAACUCACGGAAGUGCAUUCAGCCUGCCUGAAGACAGAUUCAUCCUCUUCCCCAAAACCUGGCCUCUUCCAGCGUGCCCUUGGGCAGCUAAAACCGUCAUCUGCUAACCCCUGCUCACGCACCCCAGACACUGCUCUCACCCUCGCCACUCUCGUUGCCAGCGCUUAGUGGGGUUGCCUCUUGAGGAGUUCUCAGCUCCGUUGCUCCUGGCCACCCCUUCUCCACCCCGGGUAUACCCAGGUGAUCAGCGCUUCUGCCCUGGCACCUUCCAGUCCCUGCAGCCUGAGUACACCCUUUCUGAAGCACAGACCUGGUCACAUCUUUCCUCCACCUCCUCCCAGGGCUCCAGGUCAGUCCUUGGGCCCCCAGCCCAGCCGCCUCCGUGGACUCCUGGGGCCUGUGCCUCUGCAGCCUCCACUGCCCUGGCCACACGCUGCUCCAUGUAUCACACCCCUCCCAGCCCAGGGCCUUUUCCCAAGUUGUACCUCCUCCUCCCUAGCCCUGGCCACACCUGACCUUUGCGGGUUCAAUCCCUCAGCCCAGCUCAAGCACUGUCUUCCUGGAAAGCCAUCUGCCACCCCACCUGUCUCUGCUGAGCUGGCUCAGGGGCUGUGUGGCAUUUCUUCAUGGACUACUGGAUGAGUGCCACCCACUUCAGGAGGACAGGGUCUGCCUGUCCCGGUCCCUGCUGUAUCCCCAGAGCCUUGCAGGGACCUUGGCACAGACUGGGUGAAUAGGUGACCCCCGCCCUGGCCCGGCCAGUUCUCUCCCUCUCCUCUACUUCAUGGCUCCUGUGCUGGAUGGGACCUGCUCUGUCCAGUGGGUGAGCAGAGCAGGCUGGCCGGGCUGGCCACUGGAUCCUUCUGGGGAUUGUAGGCAGUGUGGGCAUGGGGGUCUCCUGAGAGACCCUGGCCAGAAGACACAAGAGAGCCCGCCCUGGGGGGCCCCAGCCCUGGGCCCUGAGCUCACCUUGACCCCAUCCGAAGAUCCAAGAGGGCUGGCCCUGGGGGGCCCCCAGCCCUGGGCCCUGAGCUCACCUUGACCCCAUCCGAAGAUCCAAGAGGGCUGGCCCUGGGGGGCCCCAGCCCUGGGCCCUGAGCUCACCUUGACCCCAUCCGAAGAUCCAAGAGGGCUGGCCCUGGGGGGCCCCCGGCCCUGGGCCCUGAGCUCACCUUGACCCCAUCCGAAGAUCCAAGAGGGCUGGCCCUGGGGGGCCCCCAGCCCUGGGCCCUGAGCUCACCUUGACCCCAUCCGAAGAUCCAAGAGGGCUGGCCCUGGGGGGCCCCCGGCCCUGGGCCCUGAGCUCACCUUGACCCCAUCCGAAGAUCCAAGAGGGCUGGCCCUGGGGGGCCCCCAGCCCUGGGCCCUGAGCUCACCUUGACCCCAUCCGAAGAUCCAAGAGGGCUGGCCCUGGGGGGCCCCCAGCCCUGGGCCCUGAGCUCACCUUGACCUCAUCCGUGAUCAUCAUGGCAUCUUGGGACAUGAUCUUCAUAUCCGACAGCUCUGAGCAGUAGUUGACCACGAGGUUCUGCAGCUUGUCCAGCUCAAUGGGGUAUCCUGCCAGCACCUGUGUUGAAUGGGGUUCUCUUGUGGCCCCUACAGAGUGGGCUGCAGUUGCCCCGAGCUUUUAUCCCCCGACUAAGAGCCCUGAGAACAGUGAUAGGUUCUCCUCUGUGGCCCCAGCCACCUCCCCCACUCCCCGCUGGGCACAACGGUGAUGAAAGGUGUUUCACAGGGAGUGGACAGUGCUGGCCUGGUGGACUCUUUCACCACCUAGGGUCCAACAACCCAGAGAGACUGAGAGAGUUUGUGAUGAAAUGCUCUGCAGAAAAGGCUGACUGAAACCCGGGGAGGUUUGGGGACAGUUCUGCUUUGAAGUGAAACAGAGGGGCUCAAGACAUGGGCUUGGGGUCAGAGAGUCAGGAUUCAAGGCCAAGGCAGCUUCUGACCAGCUAGUUUAGCUGUGUGACAUUGGGAAAGUUACUUAAUCUCUCUGUGUCCCCAUUUGUAAGAUGAUGGCUCGUUCAGAAGGUUGCCAUCAGGAUGAAUUGAGUGUAAAAGGAAUUAUUUAGCCCAGAACCAGGUACAUACGUGCUCAGGAUAGCUUUGCUAUAGUGGUUUGUUUUUUGUAACUACAAGUAUAGGCCAGGUGCGGUGGCUCACGCCUGUAAUCCCAACACUGGGAGGCCGGAGGCAGGCAGAUCAUGAGGUCAGGAGUUAGAGACCAGCCUGGCCAACAUAGUGAAACCCUGUCUCUACUAAAAAUACAAAAAAAAUCAGCCGGGCGUGGUAGUGGGCGCCUGUAAUUCUAGCUAUUCGGGAGGCUGAGGCAGGAGAAUCGCUUGAACCCGGGAGGCGGAGGUUGCAGUGAGCCGAGAUCUCACCACUGCACACCAGCUGGGGCAACAGUGUGAAACUCCAUCUCAAAAAACAAAACAAACAAAAACAAAACUAGAAGUGUAGAAUCUUCAUUUUUAAAAAUAUGGAUGACUAUGGGAAUUAUUGCUUGUUUUUUCCUUUGUUCUGAGACUGAAUCUCACUCUAUCACCCAGGCUGGAGUGCGAUGGUACGAUCUCGGCUUGCAGCAACCUCUGCCUUCUGGGUUCAGGUGAUUCUCGUGCCUCAGCCUCCCGAGUAGCUGGGAUUACAGGCAUGCACCACCAUGCCAGGCUACUUUUUGUAUUUUUAGUAGAGAUGAAGUUUCACCAUGUUGGCCAGGCUGGUCUAGAACUCCUGACCUCAAGUGAUCCGCCUGCCUUGGCCUCCCAAAGUGCUGGGAUUACAGGCAUGAGCCACCAUGCCCAGGCCGGGAAUAAUUGUUUUUUAAGUGUGUAUGUUCUAAACAGAAGAAGGCGCUACCAGAGGAACAGAAAGCACCCAGGCGAAGGAGGGGCAUGGACAGGGGUGGGGAGAGGGGUGGGCCCAGGAAGCAUAGAGGGGCAGGGCUUCCAGGUGAGCCAAUAGGACCAGGGGCCAAGGCAAGAGGGACAAGCAGAGGACGGUGCUGAGAGCCACCUGGGCUGGGACCACAGCAGGAAAAGAGCUGCGAUGCAGCCUCCGUCCACCACUCCUCCUAAACUGCACUUCCAUGCUGUCACCUUCCCGAAGCAUGGCUCUCCAGAGCUCCCCUUUGCCCAGUCUUAGGGUGAGGGUGUUUCCAGCUGGCUCCCCGCCCCAUCCACAGGUUGCUCCUCUUAGCACCUCCUGUGCUCUCCCUAUCUACAGCCCAUCUGGAGUAGGUUCUGCUUUGUGGCAGCCCGAGGGGCGGUGCUCAGCCUCCCAUGAAGGGGGUCUUCCCUCACAAUCGGACUGCUGGCUGCCUUUGGCCUCGUCUGCAGGGAGCAGGGCGGGUGGGCUGGCUGGGACGGCAGCAAGCCCUGCUUACAGGCCCAGCGGACCCUCAAAGGUGCAAGGACUUUCUGAGGGUGCAGGACCUGUCUGACUCUCAGAGGCCCAGGCAAUGAGAAAAUGACAGGCAAGAUACAAACAAUACCAAAUCAUUUAAUACGUGCAAGAAAGUCCGAAGAAUUCUGAUAUACCCCACGAUAUGCUUUUUUGGAAUAGCCAAAAAUGAAGUUUAAAAAAACGUUUUCCACAUGCCUCGGCGUCCUGCGUAGCCGGUGGUCAGGCAGAGCUCCCUCUCCCUGGCGGGUGCGGGGCGGCUCCGCCCCAGGACGCUCCCGCCCCUCCCAGAUCCCAGCCCCUGACCCCCGCCCUUCCCGGGCCGCUGGGCUCACUGUCUUCAGAUAAUCCAGCAGGUCCAAAUACAGCAGGUGGAUGUUCUGGCUGGUGAUGAUCUUGAUCAUUGUCUUCUCGAUGUUGUUCUCCAGCUGGCGGAUGAUCUGGGGCGGACCGAGGGCGCAGUGAGAGGGCGUGGGGACCGGCCGCCCGGAGGGUGUCGGGGCUGGGUUUUCUCCGGAGAGGGUCGUGCUCUCUUAGCCCCGCCCCUCCCGUGAGCCCUCCCCAGGGGACCCGCAAGUCCCGCCCCCCGGUGGCCCCGCCCCUCCCGUGAGUCUUGCCCCAGUGGACUCCGCCCCGCCCUCCCAGCCCCGCCUCUCCACCUGCAGCAGCCGCAGCUCCUCCUUGCUGGCGUCGGGCUGGCUCCGCAGGCUGUCCAGCUCCAGCUGCAUGCUCUCCAGCUUCUGCCCGCGCCGCCGCACCAGGUGGAUCAGCCUUGGAGAUGGUCCACUGGUCAUACUGCGGAGCGGCGGCGGCUGAGCUAGAGCGGGCCCUUUGCGCACCC